This 440-nucleotide ribosomal RNA is filed under the name uncultured bacterium. RNAcentral describes it as "partial 16S ribosomal RNA". It matches the Rfam family "Bacterial small subunit ribosomal RNA", at positions 338 to 795 of the family's 1533-position model. The record is from RNAcentral.
CCUACGGGAGGCAGCAGUGGGGGAUAUUGCACAAUGGGGGGAACCCUGAUGCAGCGACGCCGCGUGGGUGAAGAAGCGCCUCGGCGCGUAAAGCCCUGUCAGCAGGGAAGAAAAUGACGGUACCUGAAGAAGAAGCCCCGGCUAACUACGUGCCAGCAGCCGCGGUAAUACGUAGGGGGCAAGCGUGAUCCGGAUUUACUGGGGGGAAAGGGGGCGCAGACGGCGAUGCAGGCCAGGAGUGAAAGCCCGGGGCCCAACCCCGGGACUGCUCUUGGAACUGCGUGGCUGGAGUGCAGGAGGGGCAGGCGGAAUUCCUGGUGUAGCGGUGAAAUGCGUAGAUAUCAGGAGGAACACCGGUGGCGAAGGCGGCCUGCUGGACUGCAACUGACGUUGAGGCCCGAAAGCGUGGGGAGCAAACAGGAUUAGAUACCCCUGUAGUC